CCCGGCUAACUUUUUUUUUUUUUGUAUUUUCAGUACAGACGGGGUUUCACUGUGUUAGCCAGGAUGGUCUCGAUCUCCUGACCUCGUGAUCCGCCCGCCUCAGCCUCCCAAAGUGCUGGGAUUACAGGCGUGAGCCACCGCGCCCGGCUGAAGCCCUGCUCUUCUCCUCAGCUAUGCUGGGUGCAACAAUUUUGGCACCCAUCAAGUGGAAGUGAGAAAAACCUUACAAAUUAGAAAAUAGAGGAAAAUAUGGUUGCAUCUCUCUUUCCAUGUGAUGUACAGCUCUUUGUGUUUCCUUUUUUCAUUUUUAAUAAAUGCUCUG
This 322-nucleotide long non-coding RNA is filed under the name Homo sapiens (human). RNAcentral describes it as "HSALNT0284700". The record is from RNAcentral. Lineage: Eukaryota; Metazoa; Chordata; Mammalia; Primates; Hominidae.